RNAcentral lists this ribosomal RNA (465 nucleotides) under uncultured bacterium. RNAcentral's name for it is "partial 16S ribosomal RNA". It matches the Rfam family "Bacterial small subunit ribosomal RNA", at positions 28 to 507 of the family's 1533-position model. The record is from RNAcentral.
GACGAACGCUGGCGGCGUGCUUAACACAUGCAAGUCGAACGGAAAGGCCCUGCUUGCGGUGUACUCGAGUGGCGAACGGGUGAGUAACACGUGGGUGAACUGCCCUUCACUUCGGGAUAAGCCGGGGAAACUGGGUCUAAUACCGGAUAGGUGCCAUUGUUAUUGUGUUGGUUGUAGAGUUUUUUGGGUGUAGGAUGAGCUCGCGGCCUAUCGGCUUGUUGGUUGGUUAAUGGCCUACCGAGGCGGCGACCGGUGGCCGGCCUGGGAGGGUGGACGGCCACAGUGGGACCGAGAUUCGGCCCAGACGCCGACGGGGGGAAGCAGGGGGGAAGAGUGCACAACGGGCGCAGGCCCGAUGCAGCGACGCCGCGGGGGGGAUGACUGUCUUCGUGUUGCAAACUUCGUUCGCUCGGGACGAAGCUUGUUGUGACGGUACCUAGAUAAGAAGCACCGGCUAACUACGUG